AAGAAGAUACUAAGGGCGCACGGCGGAUGCCUUGGCACAGGAAGUCGAAGAAGGACGCGGCAAGCUGCGAUAAGCUCCGGGGAGGCGCAAACGGCCUUCGAUCCGGAGAUCUCCGAAUGGGGGAACCCAGCAGGGGUCAUGCCCUGCUACCCGCGCCUGAAUGAAAUAGGGCGCGAGGAGGCAACCCGGGGAACUGAAACAUCUAAGUACCCGGAGGAAGAGAAAUCAACCGAGAUUGCGGGAGUAGCGGCGAGCGAAACCGCACCAGCCCAAACCCAUGCACGUGCAAGCUUGAGGGCGUUGCUGCAUGAGGGGUUGUGGGACCGCGCAUUCCAUGGGCCUCAGACCAUGGACGCAGUUACAAAUCCGCGCGGAAGCGGAACGGCCUGGGAAGGCCGGCGGAACAGGGUGAGAGCCCCGUACGCGAAUCCGCGCGGACUGCGAGUGCGGCACCCGAGUAGCGCCGGGCACGUGAAACCCGGUGCGAACCUGGGGGGACCACCCUCCAAGGCUGAACACUCUCCUGUGACCGAUAGCGAACCAGUACCGUGAGGGAAAGGUGAAAAGCACCCCGAGAGGGGAGUGAAACAGUACCUGAAACCGUGCGCCUACAAGCAGUCGGAGCCCCCGAGCGGGGUGACGGCGUGCCUUUUGUAGAAUGAGCCAGCGAGUUGCGGUAUGCGGCGAGGUUAAGGUUUGAACCGAGCCGCAGUGAAAGCGAGCCUUUAAGAUGGCGUAUGAGUCGCAUGCUGCAGACGCGAAGCCGGGUGAGCUAUCCAUGGGCAGGCUGAAGCGGGGGUAAGACCCCGUGGAGGGCCGAACCCACUUCGGUUGAAAACGGAGGGGAUGACCCGUGGAUAGGGGUGAAAGGCCAAUCAAACCCGGAGAUAUCUCGUUCUCCCCGAAAUAGCUUUAGGGCUAGCCUCGGCCGUUCUCCGACGGCGGUAGAGCACUGGAUCGUCGAGGGGGCUUCACCGCCUACCGACACGAACCAAACUCCGAAUGCCGCCGGAUCAGAGGCCGGGAGUCAGAACAUGUGGGCUAAGCUGUGUGUUCGAGAGGGAAACAGCCCAGACCGCCCGCUAAGGUCCCCAAGUUUAUGCUGAGUGGCAAAGGAUGUGCGUUUGCCUAGACAACCAGGAUGUUGGCUUAGAAGCAGCCAUGCAUUUAAAGAGUGCGUAACAGCUCACUGGUCAAGUGGACAUGCGCCGACAAUUCACGGGGCUAAGCAUAACACCGAAGCGGCGGACUAAUCUAUAUUAGUGGUAGGGGAGCUUUCCCCGCAGCGGAGAAGCCGAGAGGGCGACCCUCGGUGGAGCGCGGGGAAGUGAGAAUGCUGGCAUGAGUAACGAGAGCGGCGCGAGAAACGCCGCCGCCGUAAGCCUAAGGGUUCCUGGGCAAGGCUAAUCCUCCCAGGGUCAGUCGGGAGCUAAGGCGAGGCCGAGAGGCGUAGCCGAUGCGCAACAGGCGGACAUUCCUGUACCGCCUGCGGACCGCUAUCACCGACGGGGUGACGGAGAAGGGUAGCCGAGCGGGGUUCUGGACGUCCCCGUGAAAGCGCGUAGGGAGCAUCGCAUGGAAAUCAGCGGCGCACGUAUCCUGAGACGCGAGACGAAAGCUUAUGCUGAAGUCGGCGAGCCCAUGCUUCCGAGAAAAACCUCUAGGAAGGGACGCAGGCGCCCGUACCAAAACCGACACAGGUGGGCAGGUAGAGCAUACCGAGGCGAUCGGGAGAACCAUGGUUAAGGAACUCGGCAUACUGACUCCGUAACUUCGGGAGAAGGAGUGCCCCUGGCGGUGACGGGACUAGCUCCCCGAGCGGCCGGGGGUCGCAGCGAAACGGCCCAAGCGACUGUUUAUCAAAAACA
Molecule: ribosomal RNA, 1868 nt
Filed under: Shigella flexneri
Lineage: Bacteria; Pseudomonadati; Pseudomonadota; Gammaproteobacteria; Enterobacterales; Enterobacteriaceae
Description: partial 23S ribosomal RNA
Rfam family: Bacterial large subunit ribosomal RNA
Source: RNAcentral